RNAcentral lists this ribosomal RNA (300 nucleotides) under Klebsiella pneumoniae. Its description in RNAcentral is "bacterial LSU rRNA". It matches the Rfam family "Bacterial large subunit ribosomal RNA", at positions 2631 to 2925 of the family's 2925-position model. RNAcentral also lists the same sequence under 4 other names. Lineage: Bacteria; Pseudomonadati; Pseudomonadota; Gammaproteobacteria; Enterobacterales; Enterobacteriaceae. The record is from RNAcentral.
UCGGUCCCUAUCUGCCGUGGGCGCUGGAGAAUUGAGGGGGGCUGCUCCUAGUACGAGAGGACCGGAGUGGACGCAUCACUGGUGUUCGGGUUGUCAUGCCAAUGGCACUGCCCGGUAGCUAAAUGCGGAAGAGAUAAGUGCUGAAAGCAUCUAAGCACGAAACUUGCCCCGAGAUGAGUUCUCCCUGAGACUAUAAGUCUCCUGAAGGAACGUUAAAGACGAUGACGUUGAUAGGCCGGGUGUGUAAGCGCAGCGAUGCGUUGAGCUAACCGGUACUAAUGAACCGUGAGGCUUAACCUU